This is a long non-coding RNA of Molossus molossus (Pallas's mastiff bat), 321 nucleotides long. RefSeq lists it as uncharacterized. The record is from RefSeq and is a predicted model, not a curated record. NCBI's taxonomy places the organism in Eukaryota, Metazoa, Chordata, Mammalia, Chiroptera, Molossidae. The transcript is spliced from 3 exons.
ACCCUGACUGGAGAUCAAACCCACAAUCUAGAACCCGCCUAUUUACUCUGUCCAAAGAAAAACCUCCCUACUUCUGAGACAGUAUAAGGAGGGAGAAAUUUAAAUGAGGAUCAUAGGAAUACAACCAGAAAAGAUCUCUUUUUAAGGUUUUUCAGGCAAGCUUUGCCCAGUCACUAAUCAUCACAUUUGUAUUAAGAUUUUAUAUUAGCUUACUUUUUGUUAGUACUAGUCAGAUGAUUGCAGAAGUAAAGCUUAGGGGACAGAGUGCAUAUGAAUGAUGAUCAGAAAAACUGAUUCAGUAUUGGCUGCUAUUAAUAGCAA